CAGUCGCCACGGUAAUACGUAGGGAGCAAGCGUUGUUCGGAUUUACUGGGCGUAAAGGGCGCGUAGGCGGCCUGUCAAGUCAACUGUGAAAUCUCCGGGCUUAACUCGGAACGGUCAGUUGAUACUGUCAGGCUAGAGUGCAGAAGGGGCAAUCGGAAUUCUUGGUGUAGCGGUGAAAUGCGUAGAUAUCAAGAGGAACACCUGAGGUGAAGACGGGUUGCUGGGAUGACACUGACGCUGAGGCGCGAAAGCCAGGGGAGCAAACGGGAUUAGAUACCCCAGUAGUCCCUGUCUCUUAUAC
RNAcentral lists this ribosomal RNA (301 nucleotides) under uncultured bacterium. RNAcentral describes it as "partial 16S ribosomal RNA". It matches the Rfam family "Bacterial small subunit ribosomal RNA", at positions 509 to 807 of the family's 1533-position model. The record is from RNAcentral.